This 2773-nucleotide ribosomal RNA is filed under the name Klebsiella pneumoniae. Its description in RNAcentral is "bacterial LSU rRNA". It matches the Rfam family "Bacterial large subunit ribosomal RNA". The record is from RNAcentral. Lineage: Bacteria; Pseudomonadati; Pseudomonadota; Gammaproteobacteria; Enterobacterales; Enterobacteriaceae.
AGCGUACACGGUGGAUGCCCUGGCAGUCAGAGGCGAUGAAGGACGUGCUAAUCUGCGAAAAGCGUCGGUAAGGUGAUAUGAACCGUUAUAGCCGGCGAUGUCCGAAUGGGGAAACCCAGUGCAAUUCGUUGCACUAUCGUUAACUGAAUACAUAGGUUAACGAGGCGAACCGGGGGAACUGAAACAUCUAAGUACCCCGAGGAAAAGAAAUCAACCGAGAUUCCCCCAGUAGCGGCGAGCGAACGGGGAGCAGCCCAGAGUCUGAAUCAGCUUGUGUGUUAGUGGAACGGUCUGGAAAGUCCGACGGUACAGGGUGAUAGUCCCGUACACCAAAAUGCACAGGUUGUGAACUCGAAGAGUAGGGCGGGACACGUGGUAUCCUGUCUGAAUAUGGGGGGACCAUCCUCCAAGGCUAAAUACUCCUGACUGACCGAUAGUGAACCAGUACCGUGAGGGAAAGGCGAAAAGAACCCCGGCGAGGGGAGUGAAAAAGAACCUGAAACCGUGUACGUACAAGCAGUGGGAGCACCUUCGGGUGUGACUGCGUACCUUUUGUAUAAUGGGUCAGCGACUUAUAUUCUGUAGCAAGGUUAACCGUAUAGGGGAGCCGCAGGGAAACCGAGUCUUAACUGGGCGUUAAGUUGCAGGGUAUAGACCCGAAACCCGGUGAUCUAGCCAUGGGCAGGUUGAAGGUUGGGUAACACUAACUGGAGGACCGAACCGACUAAUGUUGAAAAAUUAGCGGAUGACUUGUGGCUGGGGGUGAAAGGCCAAUCAAACCGGGAGAUAGCUGGUUCUCCCCGAAAGCUAUUUAGGUAGCGCCUCGUGAAUUCAUCUUCGGGGGUAGAGCACUGUUUCGGCUAGGGGGUCAUCCCGACUUACCAACCCGAUGCAAACUACGAAUACCGAAGAAUGUUAUCACGGGAGACACACGGCGGGUGCUAACGUCCGUCGUGAAGAGGGAAACAACCCAGACCGCCAGCUAAGGUCCCAAAGUCAUGGUUAAGUGGGAAACGAUGUGGGAAGGCACAGACAGCCAGGAUGUUGGCUUAGAAGCAGCCAUCAUUUAAAGAAAGCGUAAUAGCUCACUGGUCGAGUCGGCCUGCGCGGAAGAUGUAACGGGGCUAAACCAUGCACCGAAGCUGCGGCAGCGACACUAUGUGUUGUUGGGUAGGGGAGCGUUCUGUAAGCCUGCGAAGGUGUGCUGUGAGGCAUGCUGGAGGUAUCAGAAGUGCGAAUGCUGACAUAAGUAACGAUAAAGCGGGUGAAAAGCCCGCUCGCCGGAAGACCAAGGGUUCCUGUCCAACGUUAAUCGGGGCAGGGUGAGUCGACCCCUAAGGCGAGGCCGAAAGGCGUAGUCGAUGGGAAACAGGUUAAUAUUCCUGUACUUGGUGUUACUGCGAAGGGGGGACGGAGAAGGCUAUGUUAGCCGGGCGACGGUUGUCCCGGUUUAAGCAUGUAGGCUGGUUGUCCAGGCAAAUCCGGAUAAUCAAGGCUGAGGUGUGAUGACGAGGCACUACGGUGCUGAAGUAACAAAUGCCCUGCUUCCAGGAAAAGCCUCUAAGCAUCAGGUAACAUUAAAUCGUACCCCAAACCGACACAGGUGGUCAGGUAGAGAAUACCAAGGCGCUUGAGAGAACUCGGGUGAAGGAACUAGGCAAAAUGGUGCCGUAACUUCGGGAGAAGGCACGCUGGUGUGUAGGUGAAGUCCCUGCGGAUGGAGCUGAGACCAGUCGAAGAUACCAGCUGGCUGCAACUGUUUAUUAAAAACACAGCACUGUGCAAACACGAAAGUGGACGUAUACGGUGUGACGCCUGCCCGGUGCCGGAAGGUUAAUUGAUGGGGUUAUCCGUAAGGAGAAGCUCUUGAUCGAAGCCCCGGUAAACGGCGGCCGUAACUAUAACGGUCCUAAGGUAGCGAAAUUCCUUGUCGGGUAAGUUCCGACCUGCACGAAUGGCGUAAUGAUGGCCAGGCUGUCUCCACCCGAGACUCAGUGAAAUUGAACUCGCUGUGAAGAUGCAGUGUACCCGCGGCAAGACGGAAAGACCCCGUGAACCUUUACUAUAGCUUGACACUGAACAUUGAGCCUUGAUGUGUAGGAUAGGUGGGAGGCUUUGAAGCGUGGACGCCAGUCUGCGUGGAGCCAACCUUGAAAUACCACCCUUUAAUGUUUGAUGUUCUAACGUUGGCCCCUUACCGGGGUUGCGGACAGUGUCUGGUGGGUAGUUUGACUGGGGCGGUCUCCUCCCAAAGCGUAACGGAGGAGCACGAAGGUUAGCUAAUCCUGGUCGGACAUCAGGAGGUUAGUGCAAUGGCAUAAGCUAGCUUGACUGCGAGCGUGACGGCGCGAGCAGGUGCGAAAGCAGGUCAUAGUGAUCCGGUGGUUCUGAAUGGAAGGGCCAUCGCUCAACGGAUAAAAGGUAUCCGGGGAUAACAGGCUGAUACCGCCCAAGAGUUCAUAUCGACGGCGGUGUUUGGCACCUCGAUGUCGGCUCAUCACAUCCUGGGGCUGAAGUAGGUCCCAAGGGUAUGGCUGUUCGCCAUUUAAAGUGGUACGCGAGCUGGGUUUAGAACGUCGUGAGACAGUUUCGGUCCCUAUCUGCCGUGGGCGCUGGAGAAUUGAGGGGGGCUGCUCCUAGUACGAGAGGACCGGAGUGGACGCAUCACUGGGUGUUCGGGUUGUCAUGCCCAAUGGCACUGCCCGGUAGCUAAAUGCGGAAGAGAUAAGUGCUGAAAGCAUCUAAGCACGAAACUUGCCCCGAGAUGAGUUCU